AGUGUAUGAGGUAUAACCUCGUGUUACAAAAAAAUUGAAAAAGUCAGUAAUAAAUUUAAAUAAAAUGCCUGGUCGAGGUGCAGUCUGGGUCAGGCAACGUUUAGACGCUUUAUCGCCUGUCGAAGUUAGAUGUACGUAAACGAUAAUAAUCUGUCAAAGCUGCAGGUCAAUCGAUUAUGAAAUAGAAUGCAGAAUAGGAUUUGGAGUGUUUUGCUGAUUUUUAAAGAAAGUUUUUGGCUGUGAAAAUUUGAUACAUGGAAAAACAUUUGUUAUCAUUCUUGUCAAGAGGAGAGAAUUCUCACUUGUACACAUUUGGCUGCCAAUGGAAAUCUCAAAAAGUGCAACUAUAUGCGGAAAUUCGAGAGUCACUUUUUCGUGUGUAUAUGUGUGGCAGAAAACCCCCGUGAAGGCGGUGACCAUCAAUCAAUCAGUGUACAAUUUUUGGAUGCUGUAAACGACACUGAGUAUUUCAUGAAAUACUAGAAAGUCCCAAAGUACAAUAAUAAUUAAUAAAAUCUCACUUUUUAAAAUUC
Molecule: long non-coding RNA, 533 nt
Organism: Leptopilina boulardi
Lineage: Eukaryota; Metazoa; Arthropoda; Insecta; Hymenoptera; Figitidae
Exons: 3
Source: RefSeq, a predicted model, not a curated record